UAGUAGGAUCCAGUUAGUACCGAUACAUGGAGUUGAAUGUUGGCCCAGAGGGCAUUCGCCGCCUCCAUUNCCAAUCUUACUUAACACACCCGUGCACCUAUGGCAAAGCAUCCCUCGCGGGUGCUUUUCCCUUUUUUAUAAUCGCAGCCUGUUCGAACGGAUGUUAUAAUAACAAGCUCUACGGAGCGGGAAAAGUAUAAUACAACUUUCGACAACGGAUCUCUUGGCUUUUGCAUCGAUGAAGAACGCCGCGAAAGUGCGAAACGUAAUGUGAAUUGCAGAAUUCAGUGAAUCAUCGAAUAUUUGAACGCAUCUUGCGCCCUUGGUAUUCCGAGGAGCAUGCCUGUUUGAGUGUCGUGGAACCAGUCGACCCCUUUGCAUCUUUGUUGAAGGGAGGUUCGGAUUUGGAUGUUGUUGUGGUCCGUCCGUCGCUCGUCUCCAAAUGCACUAGCUGGGCCCCUCCUUUGAAGUUGGGUUUGAUGACGGUGUGAUAAUUAAACGUGUUUUCAUUGACCGUGACGCCCGUCUGGCCGACUCGAGUGGUUUGGGUUGCUUACAAGUGUCUUCGGACAAUGUCCAUUUUUCAUGGCAUCUGAUCUCUGGUCAAGUUGGACAACCCCCCCGGACCAGUAUGACUAUCCGAUUAGCCAUAGUGAUUGGCC
Molecule: ribosomal RNA, 662 nt
Filed under: uncultured Ramaria
Lineage: Eukaryota; Fungi; Basidiomycota; Agaricomycetes; Gomphales; Gomphaceae
Description: eukaryotic LSU rRNA
Rfam family: 5.8S ribosomal RNA (bases 204-357)
Source: RNAcentral